GACCUCAGUUGGUAGCUCAGUUGGUAGAGCAACGCACUAGUAACGCGGAGGUCAUGGGUUCAAAUCCCGUUGAAGCCA
RNAcentral lists this transfer RNA (78 nucleotides) under Desmophyllum pertusum. RNAcentral describes it as "tRNA-Thr". The stretch from base 11 to 78 matches the Rfam family "tRNA". From Rfam's summary of the family: Transfer RNA (tRNA) molecules are approximately 80 nucleotides in length. Their secondary structure includes four short double-helical elements and three loops (D, anti-codon, and T loops). Lineage: Eukaryota; Metazoa; Cnidaria; Anthozoa; Scleractinia; Caryophylliidae. The record is from RNAcentral.